CACUCCUGCGGGAGGCAGCAGUGGGGAAUAUUGGACAAUGGGCGCAAGCCUGAUCCAGCCAUGCCGCGUGAGUGAUGAAGGCCCUAGGGUUGUAAAGCUCUUUCACCGGUGAAGAUAAUGACGGUAACCGGAGAAGAAGCCCCGGCUAACUUCGUGCCAGCAGCCGCGGUAAUACGAAGGGGGCUAGCGUUGUUCGGAUUUACUGGGCGUAAAGCGCACGUAGGCGGACUAUUAAGUCAGGGGUGAAAUCCCGGGGCUCAACCCCGGAACUGCCUUUGAUACUGGUAGUCUUGAGUUCGAGAGAGGUGAGUGGAAUUCCGAGUGUAGAGGUGAAAUUCGUAGAUAUUCGGAGGAACACCAGUGGCGAAGGCGGCUCACUGGCUCGAUACUGACGCUGAGGUGCGAAAGCGUGGGGAGCAAACAGGAUUAGAAACCCUUGUAGUCCCAUGA
This 450-nucleotide ribosomal RNA is filed under the name uncultured organism. Its description in RNAcentral is "partial 16S ribosomal RNA". It matches the Rfam family "Bacterial small subunit ribosomal RNA", at positions 334 to 800 of the family's 1533-position model. The record is from RNAcentral.